Pelobates cultripes (western spadefoot toad) is the source of this 272-nucleotide non-coding RNA. The record is from the annotation of a GenBank genome assembly. Lineage: Eukaryota; Metazoa; Chordata; Amphibia; Anura; Pelobatidae.
CGGGUCCCCUUUUUUCCCACGUGUGCCCUCUCCUCAGUCUCCAGACCCCAGGAAGGGAAAGUAGGAGAUUGAUGUCAGCUCUUUGGAGCCAGCUCUGUGAGCAGCUGAUCAGCAGCCCCAGGAAGCCCCCCUUCUCUGUUCAGCCUGUCCAUUGAAUUGCAUUGGGAAUCUUAGUUACAAGCUGCAUUGUCACACUAGGGGUGCUGUGGGGAGCUAUGGGUCCCAAAUUAUACAGGAGGGACUGAUCUGAUGACAUGAACAGCACAGCUGCC